This 495-nucleotide unclassified non-coding RNA is filed under the name uncultured Glomus. Its description in RNAcentral is "SSU rRNA". It matches the Rfam family "Eukaryotic small subunit ribosomal RNA", at positions 591 to 1092 of the family's 1831-position model. The record is from RNAcentral. Lineage: Eukaryota; Fungi; Glomeromycota; Glomeromycetes; Glomerales; Glomeraceae.
CCAAUAGCGUAUAUUAAAGUUGUUGCAGUUAAAAAGCUCGUAGUUGAAUUUCGGGAUCAAUAUGUUGGUCGUGCCUCGGUACGUACUAGCAUAUUGGUUUCUCCUUUCUGAAGAACCAUGAUGUCAUUUAUUUGGUGUCGUGGGGAAUCAGGACUGUUACUUUGAAAAAAUUAGAGUGUUUAAAGCAGGCUCACGCUUGAAUACAUUAGCAUGGAAUAAUGAAAUAGGACGUUUGAUUCUAUUUUGUUGGUUUCUAGGAUCGACGUAAUGAUUAAUAGGGAUAGUUGGGGGCAUUAGUAUUCAAUUGUCAGAGGUGAAAUUCUUGGAUUUAUUGAAGACUAACUACUGCGAAAGCAUUUGCCAAGGAUGUUUUCAUUAAUCAAGAACGAAAGUUAGGGGAUCGAAGACGAUCAGAUACCGUCGUAGUCUUAACCAUAAACUAUGCCGACUAGGAAUCGGGCGAUGUUGAAAAAAUGACGCGCUCGGCACCUCAUG